This 253-nucleotide ribosomal RNA is filed under the name uncultured bacterium. RNAcentral's name for it is "partial 16S ribosomal RNA". It matches the Rfam family "Bacterial small subunit ribosomal RNA", at positions 524 to 776 of the family's 1533-position model. The record is from RNAcentral.
UACGUAGGGGGCAAGCGUUGUCCGGAUUUAUUGGGCGUAAAGAGCUCGUAGGCGGUCUGUCGCGUCUGCUGUGAAAUCCCGAGGCUCAACCUCGGGCUUGCAGUGGGUACGGGCAGGCUAGAGUGCGGUAGGGGAGAAUGGAACUCCUGGUGUAGCGGUGGAAUGCGCAGAUAUCAGGAAGAACACCGAUGGCGAAGGCAGUUCUCUGGGCCGUAACUGACGCUGAGGAGCGAAAGCGUGGGGAGCAAACAGG